UCCAGGUCUCUGGGCUCUGCCAGAAGCCUCAGGCUCUCCCCACUAGCCCAGGACGCCUUCCCCGUCCCCAGGCGGGCCAGGCUGGGGGGUGGGGGGCUCCAGGGCAGAAAGGCCUCUGUCCCACGUGGGUUCCCAGGGCACUGGCGAGCUUGGCACUGGAUAGAAGCUCUUGAAGCAUGUCGCCUGGUGCUUGAGCUCCAAUAAUGCUGUCAAUAUAAUGGCCUAGUGUGAUGUGUCGUGGAAUGUUAAAGUGAUGAAGAUCUCUGCAGACUGUAUUACUUCGGAGCAGAACCUGAAGAUACACGAUGGCCUGGACAGCUAAAAAGGAAACUGCUCUGCUGGACCCUGCGUACUGUCACGGAGGGAAAGCCCGGUAACAGCUACCUGCCAAAUACCCGGGGCUGUGCUGACUUGCUCUGGGGAAGUUUUGCAGGACUACACCUAUGUGGGCACAUCCAGCGGGCCUUAGAUGUGUGGCCAGAGUAAGGAGUUCUUUGCGGGAGCUCACAGAUCCCAGCUUGCCACCACCUUGCCGCGCCUCCUCUUCCCGGACUCAGACCCCCAAAACCGCAGACCACAUGCUGCCUUUGCGAGUUCUUGGUGCUUUUAUGGAAGAGUGGAUCUUUGGAAGUCUUUAUUCCACUAUUUUGGAAGUGUUUCUCUCCUCCUUGAUUUACCUAUACAAUAGGAGAAAUCCUAGAUCUGGGAGCCAAAAUAUGAAGCGGAGAGUCACAGCCUCUUACCAGUUCCCAGACAAAAGUCAAUCAUGGACCCAGAGCCCCUUGACUGAAGGUGAUGCGGAGUCUCCUAGAGGAAGGAAACUGCAUCCUUGUUGCAAGUACUCAUCAUGACCCUUCCUCCUUGCCUUCCCCAGGGGGACCCACAGCUAUUUAGUGGGGUAACUGUGCACUGGAAAAAAGGACAUACCCAGAUCUUUCUGGGAUUAUUAGACAUUGGCUCUAAAUGUCCUUGUUCCUAGGGACCUAAAAUGCCACUGUGGUCCACCAUUCAAAGUAGGGGCUUAUAGCAAUCAGGUGAUAGAUGGAGACUUUUUACUCCACGCCAAUUCAGUGGACCCAGGUGGCCCGUGGGCUGGCCCGUCCUGUUCUUAUUUCCUCAAUGCCUGAAUAUAUAAUUAGAAUAGAUACACUUGAUAAUUGGCACAGACACUAAUGAGAGACUCAAAGAUACUGAAAGAAAUCUUACAACACAUCAGACAUAAAAAGGAAAGGGAAUCAUGCCGUUAGGUGUGAAUUUUAAGGACAAAUCCAAAAGACCUCAUGCAAAUAAUCGGAGUCCCAGAAGAAGGGAAAAGGAACAGAUGGAAGGGAAGAUUUGAGCCUGGAGAUUAAAAGGACUCACAUGAAUAAAGAUAAGUAUCUAGACAUAGCCUGAUGAAAUUCCUGAACUUCAGAAAUUGAAAAAAAAAAAACAAACAAAACCCCCAAAACUUACAAGCUUCUGGACUAGGUUAUUUACAAAGGAAUGAGAAUCAGACUAGUUUAAAGCCACCCAUCUGAAAUACUAUAAGCUAGAAGACAGUAGAAUACAGACUCCAGGGGAAAAGACUGGAACCCAAGAACCAGAAGCGGCAAUUAUGUCACUUCCGUGGGUGGAGCUAUACGGAGAUAUAGCUAUAAAGAUAUAGAUAGUUCAGCUUCAAUGUUAGCAGUAGCCUGGGAAUUUGUGCUUUGAGUGUUAAAUAAGGAUUCUUUGGCAUAAGUGAUUAACUUUAAUGAAAAACCUAAUAAUAGAUUAGAACAAAAAAAUCGGAAGCUAUCUUAGCAAAACUCUAGGAGAGGGAGGAAGGUCAAAGCAUUCUAGAGCGAUCAUCUUUUGGGGGUUUGUGAAAGAGUGGGCAAGUAAAUUACUUGAUGAAGGAGAAGGAUAUGACCAUGCACGGAUACAACAAUUUAAGAACAACUGUGAUUGCUAGGAAAAAGAAGAUAAACACUGGCAGGUUUACCGAGGGGGAAAGGUAAUAAAUAGAAAUUUGACCAAACCCACAGAAGUUUGUUUUUUUUUUUAAAAAGCAAACAGGAAAACAUUAAUGAAAAAGUAAAUAGGUGGGGCGCCUGGGUGGCUCAGUCAUUAAUCGUCUGCCUUUGGCUCAGGUCAUGAUCCCGGGGUCCUGGAAUCGAGCCCCAAGUCAGGAUCCCUGCUCAAUGGAGAGCCUGCUUCUCCCUCUCCCUCUGCCCACCGUUCCCCCACCUUCCCGCUCGUGCUUGUGCUCUCUUUCUCUCAUAUAAAUAAAAUCUUAAAACAACAGGGGGCGCCUGGGUGGCUCAGUCGUUGGGCGUCUGCCUUCGGCUUAGGG
Ailuropoda melanoleuca (giant panda) is the source of this 2317-nucleotide long non-coding RNA. RefSeq lists it as uncharacterized. The transcript is spliced from 4 exons. Lineage: Eukaryota; Metazoa; Chordata; Mammalia; Carnivora; Ursidae. The record is from RefSeq and is a predicted model, not a curated record.